This 62-nucleotide transfer RNA is filed under the name Bambusiphaga taibaishana. RNAcentral's name for it is "tRNA-Pro". The record is from RNAcentral. Lineage: Eukaryota; Metazoa; Arthropoda; Insecta; Hemiptera; Delphacidae.
CAGUAAAUAGUUUAUUACAAAAAUUUUAAUUUUGGAUAUUAAAGAAAUUCAUUUUUUGCUGA